RNAcentral lists this ribosomal RNA (305 nucleotides) under uncultured bacterium. RNAcentral's name for it is "bacterial SSU rRNA". It matches the Rfam family "Bacterial small subunit ribosomal RNA", at positions 338 to 659 of the family's 1533-position model. The record is from RNAcentral.
CCUACGGGGCGCAGCAGUGGGGAAUAUUGCACAAUGGGGGGAACCCUGAUGCAGCGACGCCGCGUGAAGGAAGAAGUAUCUCGGUAUGUAAACUCCUAUCAGCAGGGAAGAAAGAGGACGGUACCUGACUAAGAAGCCCCGGCUAACUACGUGCCAGCAGCCGCGGUAAUACGCAGGGGGCGAGCGUUAUCCGGAUUUACUGGGUGUAAAGGGAGCGUAGGCGGCCUGGCAAGCCUGAUGUGAAAUACCGGGGCCCAACCCCGGGGCUGCAUUGGGAACGGCCAGGCUGGAGUGCCGGAGAGGCG